RNAcentral lists this ribosomal RNA (212 nucleotides) under Escherichia coli. Its description in RNAcentral is "partial 23S ribosomal RNA". It matches the Rfam family "Bacterial large subunit ribosomal RNA", at positions 1 to 213 of the family's 2925-position model. Lineage: Bacteria; Pseudomonadati; Pseudomonadota; Gammaproteobacteria; Enterobacterales; Enterobacteriaceae. RNAcentral also lists the same sequence under 1 other name. The record is from RNAcentral.
GGUUAAGCGACUAAGCGUACACGGUGGAUGCCCUGGCAGUCAGAGGCGAUGAAGGACGUGCUAAUCUGCGAUAAGCGUCGGUAAGGUGAUAUGAACCGUUAUAACCGGCGAUUUCCGAAUGGGGAAACCCAGUGUGUUUCGACACACUAUCAUUAACUGAAUCCAUAGGUUAAUGAGGCGAACCGGGGGAACUGAAACAUCUAAGUACCCCG